Molecule: long non-coding RNA, 243 nt
Filed under: Elaeis guineensis (African oil palm)
Lineage: Eukaryota; Viridiplantae; Streptophyta; Magnoliopsida; Arecales; Arecaceae
Description: long non-coding RNA (EGUI_LNC072442)
Source: RNAcentral
CCCCUCAAAGCUAACUCCAAACCUCCUAAAUACUAAAGUGAGAGCCAUACCGAAAGGCAAAUGUGCCUUGGACCUAUUCGAGGUCUCUCUCAUAGCCUCAAUCAUUAAUGCCGGGAGGUUCAGGGGGGUUUGAGUAAUAACAUGAUACAUAAUACAGAUGUCCCGACCAGAGAGGAGAUCAUGUCUACCACUUCUAGGGAAAAAUAACUUGGUUACCAUUUGGUGUAGCAGCCUCAUCUCAAU